This 63-nucleotide transfer RNA is filed under the name Mekongiella xizangensis. RNAcentral's name for it is "tRNA-Ile". Lineage: Eukaryota; Metazoa; Arthropoda; Insecta; Orthoptera; Pyrgomorphidae. The record is from RNAcentral.
AAUGAAGUGCCUGAUUAAAGGGUUACUUUGAUAGGAUAAAUAAUGUAAAAUUUACCUUCAUUA